UACGUAGGUCCCGAGCGUUGUCCGGAUUUAUUGGGCGUAAAGCGAGCGCAGGUUGUUUAAUAAGUCUGAUGUAAAAGGCAGUGGCUCAACCAUUGUGUGCAUUGGAAACUGUUAGACUUGAGUGCAGUAGAGGAGAGUGGAAUUCCAUGUGUAGCGGUGAAAUGCGUAGAUAUAUGGAGGAACACCGGUGGCGAAAGCGGCUCUCUGGCCUGUAACUGACACUGAGGCUCGAAAGCGUGGGGAGCAAACAGG
This 252-nucleotide ribosomal RNA is filed under the name uncultured microorganism. RNAcentral's name for it is "partial 16S ribosomal RNA". It matches the Rfam family "Bacterial small subunit ribosomal RNA", at positions 524 to 776 of the family's 1533-position model. The record is from RNAcentral.